This 253-nucleotide ribosomal RNA is filed under the name uncultured bacterium. Its description in RNAcentral is "partial 16S ribosomal RNA". It matches the Rfam family "Bacterial small subunit ribosomal RNA", at positions 524 to 776 of the family's 1533-position model. The record is from RNAcentral.
UACGUAGGGACCAAGCGUUGUUCGGAUUUACUGGGCGUAAAGGGCGCGCAGGCGGCUUGACAAGUCACUUGUGAAAUCUCCGGGCUUAACUCGGAACGGCCAAGUGAAACUGUCAUGCUAGAGUGCAGAAGGGGCAAUCGGAAUUCUUGGUGUAGCGGUGAAAUGCGUAGAUAUCAAGAGGAACACCUGAGGUGAAGACGGGUUGCUGGGCUGACACUGACGCUGAGGCGCGAAAGCCAGGGGAGCAAACGGG